Molecule: long non-coding RNA, 390 nt
Organism: Condylostylus longicornis
Lineage: Eukaryota; Metazoa; Arthropoda; Insecta; Diptera; Dolichopodidae
Exons: 3
Source: RefSeq, a predicted model, not a curated record
UAUAAAACAAUGUAAACAAUUUCAAAAGAAAUAAAGAAAAUUGUUACAAAAAUUAAAAAACAUAUUUUAGAGGUUUGUAAUUCUCAAAAUAUGGACGUUGGGGCUUCUUUUGUCUAUUUGGUGGAAAAAGGUAUUACGAGUAAUAAGGAUGUUGCAGAAAUUUUGAGAAAUUGCAAAACUGAAAACAUUGAUUCCUCCAGAACAAAACUUCAAUCGUAUAAAAUAUUUAAUGAACGAGACAUUUUAAAAUCGUAGAUUUGAAGUUGGAUAUUUAAACAUAUUGGAUACUUACCUAACAUUUCUUUCCUACAAGGGCACAGUUGUAAAAAUCGCAAACUAAUUUAUGAGUGCUUUUUAAAAGUUGCUUUUAAUUUCUAGAUUGAAAAUGGA